Molecule: unclassified non-coding RNA, 391 nt
Filed under: soil metagenome
Description: partial contains 5.8S ribosomal RNA, internal transcribed spacer 2, and large subunit ribosomal RNA
Rfam family: 5.8S ribosomal RNA (bases 1-122)
Source: RNAcentral
GAUGAAGAACGUAGCGAAAUGCGAUACUUGGUGUGAAUUGCAGAAUCCCGUGAACCAUCGAGUCUUUGAACGCAAGUUGCGCCCGAAGCCAUUAGGCCGAGGGCACGCCUGCCUGGGCGUCACACGUCGUUGCCCCCCCAUCUACUCCUUCGGGAUUGCGGGGGGCGGUUGAUGGCCUCCCGUGCGCCUCGUCGCGCGGUUGGCAUAAAUGCCAAGUCCUCGGCGACGCACGCCACGACAAUCGGUGGUUGCGAAACCUCGGUUGCCCGUCGUGUGCGGUCGUCGCGCAUCGAGGGCUCGAAAAAAUUGUCGGGCUCCGGCUCGGCUUUCAACGCGACCCCAGGUCAGGCGGGGUUACCCGCUGAAUUUAAGCAUAUCAAUAAGCGGAGGA